GCAUCUAGGAGGCACUAAAAAAUUUGUUGAAUGAAUGAACGAAGCACUACAGCAAUCAAUAAGAUUUCUGUUCAAUUAAAAAAUUUUCUAACUUAGGUUAAAACAAACACAUUGUACAGCUGUACAAAAAGAUUUUCUUUCCUUAUAUCCUUAUUCUACUGUAUUUGCCUAGCACAAUUAUGAUGCAAUUGUCUAUUUCUUUUGAAAUUUUCCAUUUGUUCACUUCCCAUUGCACCUAAAAGGAAGCAUUCAUUUAUUUAUCAAUUUUUCAUUUGCUAGAAUUUCCUGGUUGUACUUGUGAUUUGAGUUCAAGCAUAGAAAUAUCACUUUUCCAGAGGAAUUCUCUGUUCAAAAAAAACAUUCAAUAUCUUGUACAUUUAACAUCUUCCACCAUUUGUUUUAAUUUGCCUUGUCCACUUUAUCUCUUAUCACCUACUUGUCUGUUCAUUUGUUCAUUUACUGCUUAGUCAACAAAGUUCCCAAUGGCUAAACCCAGGUCCUAGCCCACGCUAGAGCCUCAAACAUUUGUCAGUUGACUGAUUCAUUUCUGCUAUCUCCCUGCUCCUGCAUCCAACCAUCCAUCUUUGACAUAACUACUGUUUACAGAAAAGAAAAAAAGAGGAAUCUGGUACUCUGGCAAAAACUCAAGAGAAAUAUCCAAAAUUAUGCUCAUCUAUCAUAUGCUACUUAAUUCUACCCAAUAGUCAUGAUGCAAAACUGUUCCUCCUCCAUUCUUCCUCAUCACAAAAAUAAAUGACUAAUAAGUACUAUUCUCUCAUUGCUGAUGUCCCAAUGACUUCUAAUCCAAGGUUUCUCAACCUUGGCACUGCUGACAUUUUAGGGGGCUAACAAUUCCUGUUGUAGAGGGCUGUCCUGUUCAUUUUAGGAUAUUUAGCAGCAUCUCUGGCCU
Molecule: long non-coding RNA, 910 nt
Filed under: Pan troglodytes (chimpanzee)
Lineage: Eukaryota; Metazoa; Chordata; Mammalia; Primates; Hominidae
Description: long non-coding RNA NONPTRT001439
Source: RNAcentral